RNAcentral lists this long non-coding RNA (272 nucleotides) under Salmo salar (Atlantic salmon). RNAcentral's name for it is "lncRNA (ENSSSAG00000117333.1)". The record is from RNAcentral. Lineage: Eukaryota; Metazoa; Chordata; Actinopteri; Salmoniformes; Salmonidae.
UGCAGCUCUUUCAGAACAUCAGCUAUCUGGAUUUGGGUGAAGGAGAAAUGGGGGAGGCUUGGGCAAGUUACAGUGAGGGGUGCAGGGCUGUUGACCGGGGUCGGGGUAGCCAGGUGGAAAGCAUGGAUGCAAAUUUCUGUUUGAAAAAGCUAGCCUUUGCUUUCCUAACUGCCUGUGUAUAUUGGUUCCUAACUUCCCUGAAAAGUUGCAUAUCGCGGGGGCUAGUCGAUGCUAAUGCAGUACGCCACAGGAUAUUUUUGUGUUGGUCAAGG